RNAcentral lists this long non-coding RNA (520 nucleotides) under Capra hircus (goat). RNAcentral describes it as "lncRNA (ENSCHIG00000004111.1)". Lineage: Eukaryota; Metazoa; Chordata; Mammalia; Artiodactyla; Bovidae. The record is from RNAcentral.
CUGGGAACAGUUCCUCCUCUCCCGAGCCGCGCUGGCCGCGGCUCACCUUGGAGGCUUGCUGGCACGCUGUCUUAUCUUUCGCCCCCACUCCGUGUUUACUGUUCUGCAUUGGCUGUUUUGCAACGCUGUGCCCUGGCGCACGCUCUGGACUGGGGAGCUCAGCUGUGUUUGGAAACCCAAGAAGGCCAGGCGACCACAGUUGCAGUUGGUCCUGGGGCUUUGUGACAUCCAGGGUUUCUGUGGCUGGAUGCUGGCAUCUCCCAGGAUCAGCCGCAUGAGGUAAGGAAACAGAGAAGAAUCAGAGGCAGAAGGACAGACAUCUGUCGUGCUUUCGUCUCAGCAACUCACACUACACUUCUGAGGCUAAACUCGGGCUUUCUGGCAUGUGACCUAACCUGAAACCAUGCUCCUUGGUGAGUUUUCUCCUCCUGUUUACGGAGGAGCUGAGCUUCUGCAAAAGGGAAAUCAGAAUCUCGCCUGCAUUUUAUUAGUAUUGUGACCAUUUGCAAAUUAAUUUGGA